This is a non-coding RNA of Mogibacterium pumilum, 159 nucleotides long. The record is from Rfam. Lineage: Bacteria; Bacillati; Bacillota; Clostridia; Peptostreptococcales; Anaerovoracaceae.
GUUGUUAGCGUAAGGCUUUAUAGCGAAAUCGGAAUCGCUAAAGUAACAACUUGUCCCAUAGAAGCCGUGAGGCCGUUCAUGUGUGGCGAAAGCCUGCAGGACAAAAAGGUAAACAAAUCCGGCGAAAAACUAUCAAAGACGGCCCUUUGGUAGUUUUUU